This is a non-coding RNA of Paramuricea clavata, 422 nucleotides long. The record is from the annotation of a GenBank genome assembly. NCBI's taxonomy places the organism in Eukaryota, Metazoa, Cnidaria, Anthozoa, Malacalcyonacea, Plexauridae.
GCAGCCUUAAAAUUUGAAUAGCGAUCUUGAAACGGAUAUGCGUCGCAGUGCAUUUCAGAUCGAUUACAUAUAAUUGACAGGACUAUACAGGUGGUCUUAAAUAUAGUUCAACAGAAACUAGCGAGUCUUGGGAAUUCUUAAGGCCCAGUGAAAAAAUGGCUAUGUCAAAGCGUAUACGAGUUGGCACGAUCACAAUUGGAUGCUCGCUGAUGGUACUCACAUUCCUCUCCAUGAUCUGUGGUAUUGUCGCGAUGAGCAAAAUGAGCACUCCAUUUGAAGUUAGUAUCGGUUUAUGGGGAUUUUAUGUAAGUAUAACAUUUCACAGUGUUUUCUCUUUAACGUUCGCGUUUUAAAGUAAGUAAUUGAUUAGCGCCGGUGAAGAAGAUUGCAUUUCCGUAGGACAUGUUGUAGGACAUUGAAAG